AAGAAAAAGUGUGAUUUUUCAAGGAAUCAAGUGUUUAAAGGUGGUGAGCUAUCUGAUACGGGUAAAAGACUACACCCGAGGAUCGAGAAUAGGAGUAUAUCUACUCCUAGUACAGCUCAAAAUAGGCAGUAGAUUGUCAAUUGCAUCGAGAAGUAAAUUUCGGAGUUGCAUCCUAGAAAGCAAG
This 184-nucleotide small RNA is filed under the name Theobroma cacao (cacao). Its description in RNAcentral is "sRNA Tc09v2_g011880". The record is from RNAcentral. Lineage: Eukaryota; Viridiplantae; Streptophyta; Magnoliopsida; Malvales; Malvaceae.